UUGCACUGUUCGUAACCUGUUAACAGUAUCUUUCUGAUAAUGGGUUCCAUUCCAGUGCUACAUGAUACCCCAAGAUAAUAGAAGGCUGGCUGUUUUGUUUGCCUGUCCCCUUUAUUUUGGGGGACAUAA
Molecule: small nucleolar RNA, 129 nt
Organism: Gavia stellata (red-throated loon)
Lineage: Eukaryota; Metazoa; Chordata; Aves; Gaviiformes; Gaviidae
Source: RefSeq, a predicted model, not a curated record